Molecule: long non-coding RNA, 229 nt
Filed under: Panax ginseng (ginseng)
Lineage: Eukaryota; Viridiplantae; Streptophyta; Magnoliopsida; Apiales; Araliaceae
Description: long non-coding RNA (PGIN_LNC009627)
Source: RNAcentral
UUAGAUUUAGUCUAGAGGGGAAAGCUAAGUAGUAUAGUAGUUUUAUUUAUAUGUUGUUAAUAUGUUGUUGUAAUCUCAAUCUUUUGUGUAAGAUGUGAGAUGAUGGUAACCCCAAACUUUUGAAAAAUAUUAGAGGGGUAGUAAGCUAGUAUCGUCCCCGUCAUUUGUGAUGUUAGGGGAUAUGUGUUUUCAUUUAUAGCAGUAUACUAGAAAAGAAUGUGUAUUGUAA